AUGAACUCUUCCCUUGGCCUUACAAUUGCACUCUUUUUAGUGAUUGGAGAAAGCAAUGGAGACUCGGUGACUCAGACAGAAGGUCAAGUGACGCUCUCUGAAGGGAAUUCUAUGACUGUGAACUAUUCCUAUGAAACUAAACAGUACCCUUCCCUGUUCUGGUAUGUGCAGUAUCCUGGAGAAGGUCCACAGCUCCUCUUUAGAGUCUCAAAGGCCAAUGACAAGGGAAUCAGCAGAGGAUUUGAAGCCACAUAUGAUGAGGAAACCACCUCCUUCCACUUGCAGAAAGCCUCAGUGCAAGAGUCAGACUCGGCUGUGUACUACUGUGCUCUGAGUGACACAGUGACAGAAACCACAGCAGGAGCUGAGCACAAACUCUGA
This is a non-coding RNA of Psammomys obesus (fat sand rat), 381 nucleotides long. NCBI's taxonomy places the organism in Eukaryota, Metazoa, Chordata, Mammalia, Rodentia, Muridae. The record is from the annotation of a RefSeq genome assembly.